CGUAUGGAAACGUACGCUAAUACCGCAUAAUAUCUCCGGAUCAAAGAUUUAUCGCCUAAGGAUUGGCCCGCGUUAGAUUAGCUAGUUGGUGAGGUAAUGGCUCACCAAGGCUACGAUCUAUAGCUGGUCUGAGAGGAUGAUCAGCCACACUGGGACUGAGACACGGCCCAGACUCCUACGGGAGGCAGCAGUAAGGAAUAUUGGACAAUGGAGGAAACUCUGAUCCAGCCAUGCCGCGUGAGUGAUGAAGGCCUUCGGGUUGUAAAGCUCUUUUAGGUGUGAAAAUAAUGAUGGUAGCACCAGAAAAAG
RNAcentral lists this ribosomal RNA (309 nucleotides) under uncultured Micavibrio sp. Its description in RNAcentral is "bacterial SSU rRNA". It matches the Rfam family "Bacterial small subunit ribosomal RNA", at positions 147 to 490 of the family's 1533-position model. Lineage: Bacteria; Pseudomonadati; Bdellovibrionota; Bdellovibrionia; Bdellovibrionales; Pseudobdellovibrionaceae. The record is from RNAcentral.